UUUAAUUGAAGAGUUUGAUCAUGGCUCAGAUUGAACGCUGGCGGCAGGCCUAACACAUGCAAGUCGAGCGGCAGCGGAAAGUAGCUUGCUACUUUGCCGGCGAGCGGCGGACGGGUGAGUAAUGUCUGGGAAACUGCCCGAUGGAGGGGGAUAACUACUGGAAACGGUGGCUAAUACCGCAUAACGUCUUCGGACCAAAGUGGGGGACCUUCGGGCCUCACACCAUCGGAUGUGCCCAGAUGGGAUUAGCUAGUAGGUGGGGUAAUGGCUCACCUAGGCGA
RNAcentral lists this ribosomal RNA (281 nucleotides) under Serratia sp. Ag1. RNAcentral's name for it is "partial 16S ribosomal RNA". It matches the Rfam family "Bacterial small subunit ribosomal RNA", at positions 1 to 276 of the family's 1533-position model. Lineage: Bacteria; Pseudomonadati; Pseudomonadota; Gammaproteobacteria; Enterobacterales; Yersiniaceae. The record is from RNAcentral.